UUGAAUUUAGUUUCGUCACUCCUCUCGGCGUAUUGUUGGGCGAAAAAAAAAUAUUAAAGGAGAAAAAAAUUGGGUACACUUGAUUUUUUCUUUUUUCCUUUCUCUCUCUCUAUCAGCUUCAAUUAAAACCGACUCGAAAAAUUUGGGAUCAGAAGAAGAAUUUGGGAUCAGAUCCUUGAAGGUUUCGACUCGAAGGACCUGGAAUCAGAAGAAGGGUAAGGGAAUGGAGAGAAGGCAAUUAGUAGGCCAACCGAUUUGGAAGCCAAUCGCGAAAGGAAGAAUCGAGUUUGUGGAGGAGGAUCCUACCAUGGCCACUCUAAUUCAAGUUUAUUCCUCUAGAGUUUUGUUUCUGGAUUGAAUCAUUGAAGGCUUUUUAUUAUGUUUAUGCGAUUUUUUACCAUUUGCUCUGCUAUUUCAGGUUGUGGAGGAUCGGUAGGUGAUGCUUUUGAUGGAUCCUUUUCGUUUACUGUGCCCUACAUCUUCAGUACCAGUUAGUGUGUUCUUCCUCCUAACCCACUUUUUUCUAUAUGUGUAAAUACAUCUCUGUCUCUUUGAUGCAGAUCGUCGAGGCACCGAGAUUACUGUGUGGGAACAUCAGAAGAGAAACAUUGUGGGACUGCGUAUAAUUUAUGAGUUCAACUUUCAGGUUACCUCGCAUCUAUACAAAAAUUUUCCUAUCCGUUGUUUUAUUUAAUAUUGGCUAUUGUUGAUCCUAUGUGUCUUGUGUUUCUCAUAUGUUCAAAUAUUCAUAUAAGAGAUGAUCACAAAUUCUCCACUAGACGAGUUUGUUCUUGAACUGUGUCCUUUUUUAACUAGAAAAAGGCUGGACAUAUGUGAAAGAUAUUCAGUUCUUUUACUCUCUGUUUUUUUGUUCCUUGCUUCUUCGUCUUGCAUGUGUUUUGGAAGCUAAGUUUGUGGAGGAUCCUAUGAUUGAUCCUUGUCACUCUAGGUUUGUGGAAGAUCCUACGAUUGAUCAGUGAUGGCUUGGAUAGACACGCUUCUUCUCUAUGCUACGUCUUUAAAGGUGUUUGGAAGCUAAUUAUGAUCGAAUCCUCACGUAUUCUUCUCCAUGCUAUGUCUACAGGCCUUCUCACAGAAACUUGAGGUUACUAACUGGUGUGUUAAUGUGUCGAAACUAUGCUCAAGAUUCGAAUGGAUAUUCGUGAUUGAGAAAAACAUAAACGCUUGCAAGAUGAUUUGGUUGAGAAUAUUUGGGCAAAAUUUGGAGCAAAUCAGUAUUAAAAUUUAUCAU
Molecule: long non-coding RNA, 1252 nt
Organism: Camelina sativa (false flax)
Lineage: Eukaryota; Viridiplantae; Streptophyta; Magnoliopsida; Brassicales; Brassicaceae
Source: RefSeq, a predicted model, not a curated record